UUUGUAGAAGGUGCUUCGGGCGAGACCCCGGUCCAAGUCCCUUGGAACAGGGCGUCGCAGAGGGUGAGAAUCCCGUACGCGGCCGGUGGACGAGCCCGUGUGAAGCCCUUUCGACGAGUCGAGUUGUUUGGGAAUGCAGCUCUAAAUGGGUGGUAAAUUUCAUCUAAAGCUAAAUAUCUGCCGGAGACCGAUAGCGCACAAGUAGAGUGAUCGAAAGAUGAAAAGCACUUUGAAAAGAGAGUCAAACAGUACGUGAAAUUGUUGAAAGGGAAGCGCUUGCAACCAGACUCGUUCGCGGGUGCUCAGCCGUCCCUCGGGGCGGUGCAUUCUCCCGCGUUUCGGGCCAGCAUCGGUUCUGGCGGCUGGAUAAAGGCCUCGGGAACGUAACUCUCUUCGGGGAGUAUUAUAGCCCGGGGUGCAAUGCGGCCAGCCGGGACCGAGGACCGCGCGUUUGCUAGGAUGCUGGCGUAAUGGUUGUUAGCGACCCGUCUUGAAACACGGA
RNAcentral lists this ribosomal RNA (502 nucleotides) under Ocellularia khasiana. Its description in RNAcentral is "eukaryotic LSU rRNA". It matches the Rfam family "Eukaryotic large subunit ribosomal RNA", at positions 149 to 665 of the family's 3401-position model. The record is from RNAcentral. Lineage: Eukaryota; Fungi; Ascomycota; Lecanoromycetes; Ostropales; Graphidaceae.